This 58-nucleotide transfer RNA is filed under the name Neotoma lepida (desert woodrat). It matches the Rfam family "tRNA", at positions 8 to 63 of the family's 71-position model. Rfam says of the family: Transfer RNA (tRNA) molecules are approximately 80 nucleotides in length. Their secondary structure includes four short double-helical elements and three loops (D, anti-codon, and T loops). The record is from Rfam by way of RNAcentral. Lineage: Eukaryota; Metazoa; Chordata; Mammalia; Rodentia; Cricetidae.
UAGCUCAGUGGUUAAGAGCAUUGACUGUUCUUCCAAAGGGCCUGGGUUCAAUUCCCAG